AGUGAACGCUGGCGGCGUGCUUAUCACAUGCAAGUCGAACGAGAACGGAAUAUAGCUUGCUAUAUUUGUCAGCUAAGUGGCGCACGGGUGAGUAAUGUAUAGAUAACCUGCCCUUAAGAAAGGAAUAACAGUUGGAAACGACUGCUAAUGCCCUAUAUGCCUUUAAUACAUAAGUAUGCAAGGGAAACGCUUUAGUGCUUAAGGAUGGGUCUGUAUGGUAUCAGCUUGUUGGUGAGGUAAUGGCUCACCAAGGCUAUGACGCCUAACUGGUUUGAGAGGAUGAUCAGUCACACUGGAACUGAGACACGGUCCAGACUCCUACGGGAGGCAGCAGUGGGGAAUAUUGCACAAUGGACGGAAGUCUGAUGCAGCAACGCCGCGUGGAGGAUGACACAUUUCGGUGCGUAAACUCCUUUUAUAUAGGAAGAUAAUGACGGUACUAUAUGAAUAAGCACCGGCUAACUCCGUGCCAGCCGCCGCAGUAA
Molecule: ribosomal RNA, 485 nt
Filed under: uncultured bacterium
Lineage: Bacteria
Description: partial 16S ribosomal RNA
Rfam family: Bacterial small subunit ribosomal RNA
Source: RNAcentral